UACAGAGGUCUCAAGCGUUGUUCGGAUUCAUUGGGCGUAAAGGGUGCGUAGGUGGCGCUGUAAGUCGGGUGUGAAAUUUCGGAGCUUAACUCCGAAACUGCAUUCGAUACUGCGGUGCUUGAGGACUGGAGAGGAGACUGGAAUUCAUGGUGUAGCAGUGAAAUGCGUAGAGAUCAUGAGGAAGACCAGUGGCGAAGGCGGGUCGUCUGGACAGUUCCUGACACUGAGCACGAAGGCCAGGGGAGCGAAACGGG
RNAcentral lists this ribosomal RNA (254 nucleotides) under uncultured bacterium. RNAcentral describes it as "partial 16S ribosomal RNA". It matches the Rfam family "Bacterial small subunit ribosomal RNA", at positions 524 to 777 of the family's 1533-position model. The record is from RNAcentral.